Danio rerio (zebrafish) is the source of this 1369-nucleotide non-coding RNA. The record is from RefSeq and is a predicted model, not a curated record. Lineage: Eukaryota; Metazoa; Chordata; Actinopteri; Cypriniformes; Danionidae.
CAGAGGAAAGAUCAGUGUGUGUUUGUUUUCUCAUCAGUGUGAUGAUGUGUGAGAAACUGUGGUCACCGGAUUAAACACCCGACGGACCUGGCGGAUAAACACACACACACACACACACACACACACACACACACUGAACUACUGAGAAAGAUAAAGCUGCAGCAUUUCCUGAGUUCUAGACAUCAGUCUCAUGUUUUAAUAACAGUAAUGGAGGACGUCCAGCGGUAAGAUGAGGAGGGGUCGUGUUUUGUUCGUGCUGUAUGUCAGAAAAAUGGAGCAUUCAUUUCAUCACGGAGACGGAGUUUCCCAACUAACCUGACUUCAGGGAUUCACGUCCACUGACUUCCUGCAGAUGCUUAAAUAAAAGAGUGGCAGAGGCCAAAAACACCUCCACCAGCUCAUAAACCAGUCACAAUCAAUCAAUCAGCAGGUCUGCAUCUUCAGACGGAUGUGUGUUCCUCUGAUGGAGCGUUCAGAGAAAGUGCUUCUCCUUGACCCAGCUUUAUCUUCAUAUCUGACCACCGUCUGAACGCUGGCCUGGAUAAAAGCAAAGGAGCAAACAAAUCCCGGAGGUCUCCAGAAAGCCUGGCUCUGGGUACGGGACGCCUCUUUUGGGCCGCAAACAGAAAACAUCCAACGCCAAAGUCCUGCGAGAUGUUUUCUCCGCGCACAGGAAUUACAGACUGUGGGGAAAUUAACGUAGAGAUCUGGCAGAGAGGAGGGUGCACGGUGAAAUCGCUGCCAAGUCAUCUGAGAUCUGCCGCCUUUUUAUUUUGUGUUUUUUUUUGCUCCGUCCGUGAAAUGCGGAUGAUUUUUUUUGCUCCGUCCGUGAAAUGCGGAUGAUUCCCAGCUCCGCGUUUUGGGCUCCCAGUCAAAUCCCAGCCGUCUUUAUGGAUUCUCCAGAUCUCAUUACAGUCAAUGAGCCUGCAAAGACUUUCAGAUCAAAGUGAAAGUCUUUGAGAGCGAGAGGAAGUCAUUAUUAGAGGCGCGUUAGAGGAAUACCUGAUAAAUAGAGUCUGGUCAACAAAGUUCAGCACAGGGGAAUAAACAACAGGGACGCGCAAAGACAGUCUUUAAUGCGGCUCAAUGAGGAGACAAUUAGCAAUGCUGAGGCUUUAUGAGUCCAUUUCCCACAUCAUUCCCUCACACUAUGAAAAUAAACCUGGAAUAUUUACAUUAAAAAUGUCAACUUUACAGUAAAAAAGACAGCUGUUGCUGCCAGAAUUUCACCAGAAAAUGUGUACAGUAAAUUACCAUAUUUCCUACAUUUACACUGUUAAUAUCUGUCUUUCAGAGAAGCAGCUGGUGCAGUAGGUAGUGCUGUCGCCUCACAGCAAGAAGGUCGCUGGUUCGAGCCUCGGCUGGCUCA